GUGGGUAUAGCUCAGUGGCAGAGUGCAUGCUUAGCGUGAACAAUGUCCUGGGUUCAACCCCCAGUGCUUCCA
RNAcentral lists this transfer RNA (72 nucleotides) under Camelus bactrianus (Bactrian camel). It matches the Rfam family "tRNA". Rfam says of the family: Transfer RNA (tRNA) molecules are approximately 80 nucleotides in length. Their secondary structure includes four short double-helical elements and three loops (D, anti-codon, and T loops). The record is from Rfam by way of RNAcentral. RNAcentral also lists the same sequence under 2 other names. Lineage: Eukaryota; Metazoa; Chordata; Mammalia; Artiodactyla; Camelidae.